UCCCUGGUGGUCCAGUGGUUAGGACUCUGCCCUUCUAAUACAGGAGGUGUAGGUUCAAUCCCUGGUCAGGGAA
Molecule: transfer RNA, 73 nt
Filed under: Capra hircus (goat)
Lineage: Eukaryota; Metazoa; Chordata; Mammalia; Artiodactyla; Bovidae
Also listed under: 1 other name
Rfam family: tRNA
About the family: Transfer RNA (tRNA) molecules are approximately 80 nucleotides in length. Their secondary structure includes four short double-helical elements and three loops (D, anti-codon, and T loops).
Source: Rfam by way of RNAcentral